Molecule: ribosomal RNA, 454 nt
Filed under: uncultured Porphyromonas sp.
Lineage: Bacteria; Pseudomonadati; Bacteroidota; Bacteroidia; Bacteroidales; Porphyromonadaceae
Description: partial 16S ribosomal RNA
Rfam family: Bacterial small subunit ribosomal RNA
Source: RNAcentral
ACGGAAGGCAGCAGUGAGGAAUAUUGGUCAGUGGAGGCAACUCUGAACCAGCCAUCUCGCGUGAAGGAAUACGGCCCUACGGGUCUUAAACUUCUUUUAUAGGGGGAUAAAGUGAGGCAUGUAUGCCUUUUUGUAGGUACCCUAUGAAUAAGCAUCGGCUAACUCCGUGCCAGCAGCCGCGGUAAUACGGAGGAUGCGAGCGCUAUCCGGAUUUAUUGGGUUUAAAGGGUGCGCAGGCGGCACGUUAAGUCAGCGGUGAAAUGUCGGGGCUCAACCCGGGCACUGCCGUUGAAACUGGCGAGCUUGAGUACGGAUGAAGUUGGCGGAAUGUGAUGUGUAGCGGUGAAAUGCUUAGAUAUGCUGCAGAACUCCGAUUGCGAAGGCAGCUGUCCAGAGAUGUACUGACGCUGAGGCACGAAAGCAUGGGUAUCAAACAGGAUUAGAUACCCUGGUA